This 381-nucleotide ribosomal RNA is filed under the name uncultured marine Chaetocerotaceae. Its description in RNAcentral is "SSU rRNA". It matches the Rfam family "Eukaryotic small subunit ribosomal RNA", at positions 587 to 972 of the family's 1831-position model. The record is from RNAcentral. Lineage: Eukaryota; Bacillariophyta; Thalassiosirophyceae; Chaetocerotales; Chaetocerotaceae.
AGCUCCAAUAGCGUAUAUUAAAGUUGCUGCAGUUAAAAAGCUCGUAGUUGCAUUUCCGAGGCAAGGGAUUAGUCCGACCUUUGGUGGGUAUUUAAUCCUCUUGCCUCGUCCUUGAGUGGUGCUUCUUGGUAUUAAGUUAUCGAGGAGAUAGCCGCUCAUCGUUUACUGUGAGAAAAUUAGAGUGUUCAAAGCAGGCUUAUGCCGUUGAAUAUAUUAGCAUGGAAUAAUAAGAUAGGACCUCGGUACUAUUUUGUUGGUUUGAGAACCAAGGUAAUGAUUAAUAGGGACAGUUUGGGGUAUUCGUAUUCAGUUGUCAGAGGUGAAAUUCUUAGAUUUACGGAAGACGAACUACUGCGAAAGCAUUUACCAAGGAUGUUUUCA